Molecule: ribosomal RNA, 1571 nt
Filed under: Triticum aestivum (bread wheat)
Lineage: Eukaryota; Viridiplantae; Streptophyta; Magnoliopsida; Poales; Poaceae
Description: partial small subunit ribosomal RNA
Source: RNAcentral
CCCCAAGGUCCUCCGCCGUGCGAGCCUGUCCCUUCCCGCCUUCUCCUCGCCGCGCCGCCGGCCGCUCCACCCCAGCUCGCCCCCGUCCGUGAAGGCGACAGCCGCCAGCAGCGGCCCGAGUCGAGGGAGGGAGGGAGGUUCCUCUCAGAUAAAGAUUGGGCAGUUUGGCCGGGGCAGAGCAAACAUGGGACAUUUUAUCAAUUAGCCCCCGCAACUAAAGCCGCAGUGUCGCUCGCUACUCGCUCACAGCCGGCGGAGACGAACCAUAGAUGGUGCCGGAGGACGGCGCGCAACAGGGGGCGGCCGCCACCGUGGAGCACCCCGUGGUGUCGGAGGUGGACUCGUUCCGGCGCCAGGUCGACGACCUCGCCUCCAAGACCGACGUGCUGGAGAGGAGGGUGAACGAGGUGGUAGGGUUCUACGACGUCAAGAAGCAUGGCAGUGGAGGGCGCAGGGCCAGUGGUAGCAGCAGGUAUGCGGCGAAUGGUGCAAGGGACAGCAACUGCAAAGGGAUGCCCGACCUCAUGCGCCAGCUUACCGGUAUCAUUCGCCAGAUCACGUCUCAUGAAUGGUCAGCGCCAUUUCUGCAACCAGUAGAUGUUGUAGGCCUACAACUUGAUGACUAUCACAAGAUUAUAACAAAACCUAUGGAUUUCUCGACCAUCCAAAACAAAAUGGAAGGGAAGGAUGGUACCAAGUAUAAAAGUGUUCGAGAAAUACAUUCUGAUGUUAGAUUAAUUUUUACCAAUGCAAUGACAUACAAUGAUGAACAUCACGAUGUUCACAUAAUGGCCAAGUUAUUACUUGAGAAAUUUGAGGAGAAAUGGCUCCAGCUUCUCCCUAAAGUUGAGAAUGAGGAAAGGAAACAACAGGUGGAACCAAACGAUGCUCCAACCACAGACACUUCUCCGGAAGAUGCUAUUGCAAAAUUAGCAAAAGAUACUGAUGAUGAGCUGAAUGAGAUUAAUAAGCAGCUGGAGGAGCUUCGGAACAUGGUGGUUCAGAGAUGCAGAAAAAUGACCACAGACGAGAAGAGAAAACUCGGUGCAGGCCUUUGCCACCUGACCCCGGAAGAUCUUAGCAAGGCACUGGAGCUGGUCGCACAAGACAAUCCUGACUUCCAAACUACAGCAGAAGAAGUGGACCUUGACAUGGAUGCUCAGAGCGAGACGACCCUCUGGAGGCUGAAGUUCUUUGUGAGGGAAGCGUUGGAGCGACAGGCCAGCGCAGCCGCGGCCCCUGGCAAGACCGACGAAAACGCGAAGAGGAAGCGCGACAUCUACAAUGCUCUAGCCAAGACCGCCUCGAAACGGAUCAGGAGAUAGCCUGGUUCAGGAUGUUUCUGUAGAAGUAGCUGUCACACGGGACAAUUUUCUCCCUCGUGUGGCAGUGUAUAUAUGAACAUGAAUCUGCACUAAGGAGUGGCACCUGACCUGGUCUAAUGUGUAGCAUGUUAUUGCCACCUAUGGUAAAAUACAGAGCAAUGUUGAUGCAGCUCAAAAAUAAUAAUCACAACAGAGGUGAUGUUUAUUAUUACAUAAAAUUGACGGUGUGUGCUCUGCACAUGGCGC